GCAUGGCUGUCGUCAGCUCGUGUUGUGAAAUGUUGGGUUAAGUCCGCAACGAGCGCAACCCCUAUCCUUUGUUGCCAGCGAUUCGGUCGGGAACUCAAAGGAGACUGCCGGUGAUAAACCGGAGGAAGGUGGGGAUGACGUCAAGUCAUCAUGGCCCUUACGAGUAGGGCUACACACGUGCUACAAUGGCGUAUACAAAGAGAAGCGACCUCGCGAGAGCAAGCGGACCUCAUAAAGUACGUCGUAGUCCGGAUUGGAGUCUGCAACUCGACUCCAUGAAGUCGGAAUCGCUAGUAAUCGUAGAUCAGAAUGCUACGGUGAAUACGUUCCCGGGCCUUGUACACACCGCCCGUCACACCAUGGGAGUGGGUUGCAAAAGAAGUAGAUAGCUUAACCUUCGGGAGGGCGUUUACCACUUUGUGAUUCAUGACUGGGGUGAAGUCGUAACAAGGUAAGCGUAGCGAG
Molecule: ribosomal RNA, 465 nt
Filed under: uncultured bacterium
Lineage: Bacteria
Description: bacterial SSU rRNA
Rfam family: Bacterial small subunit ribosomal RNA
Source: RNAcentral